Molecule: ribosomal RNA, 170 nt
Filed under: Bovichtus diacanthus
Lineage: Eukaryota; Metazoa; Chordata; Actinopteri; Perciformes; Bovichtidae
Description: partial 12S rRNA
Source: RNAcentral
CACCGCGGUUAUACGUGGGACCCAAGUUGAUAGAACCCGGCGUAAAGCGUGGUUAGGGGUAACACAAACAUUAAAGCCGAAUACCCUCAAAGCUGUUAUACGCAUAUGAGGGUGAGAAGCCCAAACACGAAAGUAGCUUUAAAAUACCCGAACCCACGAAAGCUAGGAGA